This 265-nucleotide ribosomal RNA is filed under the name uncultured Bacteroidota bacterium. RNAcentral describes it as "uncultured Bacteroidetes bacterium partial 16S ribosomal RNA". It matches the Rfam family "Bacterial small subunit ribosomal RNA", at positions 1118 to 1382 of the family's 1533-position model. Lineage: Bacteria; Pseudomonadati; Bacteroidota. The record is from RNAcentral.
CCAUCAGGUCAUGCUGGGGACUCUAACAAAACUGCCCGCGUAAGCGUGGAGGAAGGUGGGGAUGACGUCAAAUCAGCACGGCCCUUACGUCCAGGGCUACACACGUGCUACAAUGGCCGGUACAGAGGGCAGCCACUUGGUGACAAGGAGCAAAUCUCAAAAGCCGGUCUCAGUUCGGAUCGGAGUCUGCAACUCGACUCCGUGAAGUUGGAUUCGCUAGUAAUCGUAGAUCAGCAAUGCUACGGUGAAUACGUUCCCGGGCCUU